Molecule: ribosomal RNA, 400 nt
Filed under: uncultured bacterium
Lineage: Bacteria
Description: bacterial SSU rRNA
Rfam family: Bacterial small subunit ribosomal RNA
Source: RNAcentral
GAAUCUUAGACAAUGGGCGCAAGCCUGAUCUAGCCAUGCCGCGUGAGUGAAGAAGGCCCUAGGGUCGUAAAGCUCUUUCGCCAGGGAUGAUAAUGACAGUACCUGGUAAAGAAACCCCGGCUAACUCCGUGCCAGCAGCCGCGGUAAUACGGAGGGGGUUAGCGUUGUUCGGAAUUACUGGGCGUAAAGCGCGCGUAGGCGGGUCGGAAAGUUGGGGGUGAAAUCCCAGGGCUCAACCCUGGAACUGCCUCCAAAACUGUCGGUCUUGAGUUCGAGAGAGGUGAGUGGAAUUCCGAGUGUAGAGGUGAAAUUCGUAGAUAUUCGGAGGAACACCAGUGGCGAAGGCGGCUCACUGGCUCGAUACUGACGCUGAGGUGCGAAAGUGUGGGGAGCAAACAGG